AGACUGUUGAGCACAUCAAUAAAACUAUCGCACCUGCUCUGGUUAGCAAGAAACUGAAUGUGGUAGAUCGGAAGAG
This is a long non-coding RNA of Microtus ochrogaster (prairie vole), 76 nucleotides long. RefSeq lists it as uncharacterized. The transcript has 3 exons. NCBI's taxonomy places the organism in Eukaryota, Metazoa, Chordata, Mammalia, Rodentia, Cricetidae. The record is from RefSeq and is a predicted model, not a curated record.